RNAcentral lists this transfer RNA (93 nucleotides) under Achromobacter sp. 2789STDY5608628. RNAcentral's name for it is "tRNA-Ala(cgc)". RNAcentral also lists the same sequence under 1 other name. Lineage: Bacteria; Pseudomonadati; Pseudomonadota; Betaproteobacteria; Burkholderiales; Alcaligenaceae. The record is from RNAcentral.
GCGGCAGCUAUCCGGGGCUUCGCCGCGGACGCUGGUCGCGGCGGCGUCGCGCAGGCGCGCGAGGUUGUGGUGGAAGCUCAUAGCGGCAGUUCC